UGGGGUAUAGCCAAGCGGUAAGGCAACGGACUUUGACUCCGUCAUUCCCAGGUUCAAAUCCUGGUACCCCAG
Transfer RNA from Brevibacillus laterosporus LMG 15441, 72 nucleotides. It matches the Rfam family "tRNA". From Rfam's summary of the family: Transfer RNA (tRNA) molecules are approximately 80 nucleotides in length. Their secondary structure includes four short double-helical elements and three loops (D, anti-codon, and T loops). Lineage: Bacteria; Bacillati; Bacillota; Bacilli; Caryophanales; Paenibacillaceae. The record is from Rfam.